Molecule: ribosomal RNA, 253 nt
Filed under: uncultured bacterium
Lineage: Bacteria
Description: partial 16S ribosomal RNA
Rfam family: Bacterial small subunit ribosomal RNA
Source: RNAcentral
UACGUAGAGUGCAAGCGUUGUCCGGAAUUAUUGGACGUAAAGAGCUCGUAGGCGGUUUGUCGCGUCUGCCGUGAAAACUCAGGGCUUAACCCUGAGCCUGCGGUGAGUACAAACAGACUAGAGUGUGGUAGGGGAGAUCGGAAUUCCUGGUGUAGCGGUGAAAUGCGCAGAUAUCGGGAAGAACACCCGUGGCGAAGGCGGCUCUCUGGGACGGUACUGACGCUGAGACGCGAAAGCGUGGGGAGCGAACAGG